Molecule: ribosomal RNA, 207 nt
Filed under: uncultured bacterium
Lineage: Bacteria
Also listed under: 1 other name
Description: partial 16S ribosomal RNA
Rfam family: Bacterial small subunit ribosomal RNA
Source: RNAcentral
CUCGUAGGCGGUUUGUCGCGUCUGUCGUGAAAUCCUCUGGCUUAACUGGGGGCGUGCGGUGGGUACGGGCAGACUAGAGUGCGGUAGGGGAGACUGGAAUUCCUGGUGUAGCGGUAAAAUGCGCAGAUAUCAGGAGGAACACCGGUGGCGAAGGCGGGUCUCUGGGCCGUUACUGACGCUGAGGAGCGAAAGCAUGGGGAGCGAACA